This 18-nucleotide small nuclear RNA is filed under the name Arabidopsis thaliana (thale cress). RNAcentral describes it as "snRNA_01718". The record is from RNAcentral. Lineage: Eukaryota; Viridiplantae; Streptophyta; Magnoliopsida; Brassicales; Brassicaceae.
AAUUCAACCUAGUACGAG